Non-coding RNA from Mycena olivaceomarginata, 98 nucleotides. The record is from the annotation of a GenBank genome assembly. NCBI's taxonomy places the organism in Eukaryota, Fungi, Basidiomycota, Agaricomycetes, Agaricales, Mycenaceae.
GACCUGGUGGUGGAUGGCAACACACCUGUUACACAUGGUGUGUUUGCGCAGCGAACAUAAUUUGGCAGGGGAUCCCCGUUCGAAUCGGGGCCAGGUCA